UUUUUAGGGCCAUACUCACAGUACAUGGAGGUUCCCAGGCUAUGGGUUCAAGGAGCUGUAGCCACCAGCCUACACCACAGCUACAGCAAUGUGGGAUCCAAGCCAGUCUGCAAUCUACACCACAGCUCCUCACAGCAAUGCUGGAUCCUUAACCCACUGCGCAAAGCCAGGGAUCGAACCCGCAACCUCAUGGUUCCUAGUCAGAUUCGCUUCCAUUGCGCCACGAUGGGAACUCCAGUUUUCUUUUUUUAAUUUUACAAGUUAACUGCAAUCUUAAUUCUGCAUUGCAGAUUGUUGUUUAUCCUGUGUUACAUUAGCCAAAUUUUAUAGGAAAGAUUUCAUUACUAUAUAUUUCAAUAUGGCUUAAUGUUACAGUCAUCUACUUUCAGAUUAAAAACUUAAACUUUCAAAUUAAUAUAUUCUUGACGGAAAUGUCUAGGGUGAUUUGGAGGGAGAUGAGCAGAAGGUAAACAUUCUGUAAGAAAAACGCUUAACAAUCAUGUCUCCAUUCUUACUGAUUUUUUUUAGCAGUGGGAAAGAAUAGACACAAAGAUCAGGGAAAAAUAGUAUUGUCUCAAAGAGAACACAAAAUUGUGUUAACUGUCGGUUUAAAAAAAUGGCUAGACGCUGAGGUUUAAGACUACAAAAAUUAUAAACAAAAGUGUAAAUCCUACAUGUGCUUAUAUGUUUGAAUUGGGAGUUUCAAGUGUUUUUUAGGUUGGAGUCACUCAGGGCAAUUAAAAAUAACAACCAUCUCUCAAAGUAUUUCCAUUGAAUAGUCAAACCUAUACAGUGCAACUCUCACCAUCUUUUUAAAUGAAAUAGAAAUGUUUAUGGCUACCUCUAACUUAGUAAGAUGAAGAUUUGCUAGAAUAGAUUUUAGAAACUGUUAUUAAAAUGAAUUAUCCAUGUAAUGUGCUUUCUGAGAUAUUUACCUUGAAAAAGGGACUUUUCCCCUGGCCAAAAUCAAAGGUCAGAUAUGGAUGCUGAUGGAACCAGCUUGAGAGGAGGUGAAUGGCACAUACUCCCUGCUUUUGUCCUGGAUGAUUAAAUUAAUCACUGUGGCAAGAAGUGAGAAUCACCUCAUUUUGUUUCCAACCAGGUCCCAGGGAUGGUCCACCCAACCUUACUGCACAAGAAAGAGAAGCUCCAAAUCCACAUGCUAUGGUUUUCCUUUGUAGUUUGGUCUCUGAAAUUUCAUUUUACCCAGCUCUCCCUCCACUUUGAACAUCUUACCCCUUCUAGGUGAGAAAAUUGCUCUUUGACUUUAAAAACAUCUUCAACAGCCUCAUGGACCACCCUGCCCAUGCUCCUGAAGUAUAAAAUAGAAAAGGUUAAUGUACAGACCAUCAAAAUGGUUUCUACAGCUAUGACCUUGAACACACUUUAGAAAACAAAUCUGUCUCAAAGUCCUAAAGUGUCUGCCCUCAGGUUUUCCCUAACUGGUCAUUAAUUACUGUGGCUCAUGUCAAAGUAGUUUCAGACAUGAAGGCAAAGGACACCGAAAACUCAAUAAUCAUAUAGCUGACAUGGAUGUCACUGUCUUUGAACAGGUGAGGGGAAGAAAAAUAUCUGAUUAAGGGCAAUGCAAUUAGCAUAAGAUGUUCUUGACUGAUUUGACUGCAAUGCCUAUGAUAUUUAAAAUGGCUAAUAGUUGGAUUCAGAGUUGGGAUAUUAGCGGAAAUCUUGGAAUAGGAUGGAAUCAAGAGUAUGUGUUUCAAAAAGGAGAAGUUCUUUUAGAGACAUGAAUCCUUUUUUUUUUUAAUGACCACACCCACAGCAUAUAAAAUUCCUGGGUCAGGGACUGAAUCCAAGUGGCAGCUGCAACUUCUGCUGCAGCUUCAGCAACACUAGAUCUUUUAAUCCACUGUGCUGGGCGGGGGAUCAAACCUGCCCCUCUGCAGUGACCUUAGCUGCUGCAGUCUGAUUCUUGGCCCACUAUGUGAUAGUGGGAACUCUCUGGAGAGAAUGAAUCUUGAUGUAACUUACUCAGUUGGAUAAAAUGAGAUAAUCAAAUAGGAAAAGUAUCCGGAGAGCAUGCUGUGCCUUCCCCAUGACCAUAUGAUGUAGUGCUUCAGGCAAAAGGCGAAUGGGGACUCGUAUUCACAUGUCAAAAGAAGUGUUACAUAAAGAAUAAAGGAGUUUUUUUCUUUUUUCAGAAAAGCAUUAUUUCAUGCAAUUCUCAGCCACAUGCUUAAAAAAUGUUUUGCGAUAUUGGAGAGAGUCCAAAUAAGGACAAUAAAAAUGAUAUAAAGUAGAGAAAACAUGACCUCUAAGUAUGGCUAACAAAACUAUACUUGUGCCUCCUGGGAGGGACCCUGAGGGACCAUACAGACUGUCCACUGUCUUCAAAAGAAUAGGCCAGAAAAGGGCAUGGGGCCUGCUUUAAGUAGUCAUUUGGGGUCAAUAAACAAUUGUCUUUAAUGACAAACAGCAAGACAGUCUUGUUUAAUUGGAACACAGGGUUUUGCAAAUUGCUUUCUUCAGAGGUAUAUACGUUUAGAAAACAAAACAAACUAAACAGAAAAGAAAUUGUGCGGCUUGAAGAAAUAGCAAAAAAUAGCUCACUUUCGGGGGAAAAACAUUGUGAUGCUUCAUAAACAUUUUAAAUGUGGACAUCCUUCAGUUAGAAGAAAAAAAUAGCCAUAACUUGGCAAUUACAGUUUCCUUUCAUCUCCAGAGGUUGCUGAACAUACUAUAUGAAACUGCAGUUAAGGAAUUAUUUCUUGGCUCCUUCCCCUGGGAAGAUGUUGGUUCCACCAUCAUCCACAGCCACUCAGGGGCCUGGUCCCCCACCCCACUCCCCAUGGCUCCUGAGCCAGGCAGUACUAAGACGUGGAAAAGGACUUCACAGCAGUGGGAAGAAGAUGAAAUUUUGGCUACUGACGAACUCCUUAAACUUAUUCUGGUGCCAACCACUGUUAGGCAGGAAUUUGGUCUUACAUGGCUCCUAGUAAUUGAAAGCACUUUACAAGGCCCUCUGCCAGGACCCAUAUAGACAGGGGGAAAAAAUAACUUUUAUUCCACUUAUUAAAUUUCACAUUGCUUCUCCCUGGUAGCAAAGGAAACAGAAAGGAGAUAGAGUGAUGAAUUACGAUCCCAGGCAGGGAGGGCUAUUCUUAGGCUCUGCUGGCUGGAGAGUCAGAAGCCCAGCUCAGGCUUGUAUUUUUUCCAUUCUGUCUACACAUCUCCAGAAGCACAGAGUAAAGGGCCAAGUGAUUUCAAUCCUAUGAAAAAUGUGGCUCUCUUCUGGAACUGAACCUUUAAAAUAUGUGUCCUGCUUUGUUGAAAUAUACUUUGGAAUACUGACUUUGGAUGUAGCCACAAUAGGUUAUUUAUUGCUUUGAAAAUGUAUUGAUAGCCUUUAAUUCAUAGCCAACCUUCUUUCAUGGUAUUUCUUUACUUUUCAGAGAUAGGACUUCCUAAAAGGGGGGAAGAUAAAUGUGUGAGUUUAGGAGCAUGGUGGGUGGAGGUAAGGCUGUAGGAAAACAGGGCCAUAUAAAAAUAUAAGUAUGACCAUAAUUUAAUCUAUUUUUUAACAAAAGAAUCCUAGCUGAUGAAUCAGAAUUUUGUAAUGGGUUAGAGGAGAGGCUUUAUAGAGAGACAGACAAGAGUCUGACUCAUGUUUGGGUCACUUAUGAGUGUGUGACAUUAAGCAAACAGUUAAAUUUCUCAGUGUUCUCAACUAUAAAAUGGGGAUUAAAAAUACCAACUUCAAAAGGGCAUGUGUAUUGGAAUUUCCACUGUGGCACAGAGGUUUAAGGAGCCAGCAUUGUCUCUGUAGUGGCUCAGGUUGCUGCUAAGACUUGGGUUCAAUCCCUGGCCUGGAAUAGUAAGUUAAGGUUAUGGCCUUGCACAACUAAGGCAUGGAUUGCAGCCACAGCUCAGGUUCCAUCCCUCGCCCAGGAACUUCCUUAUGCUGUGGGUGCAGUCAAAAACACAAACAAACAAUAAAAGGAGAAUAAGUAUUAAAUAACAGGAUUUUGGCAUUUUCCAUUGUGGCUUAGUAGGUUAAGAACCCAACCAGUAUCCUGAGGAUGUGGGUUUGAUCCCUGGCCUUUCUCAAUGGUUUAAAGGAUCCAGCAUUACUGUCGGCUUCAGUGUAGUUUGCAGAUGCAGCUCAGAUCUGGUGUUGCUAUGGCUGUGGCAUACGUUGUCAGCUGCAGCUCCGAUUCGACCCCUAGGUUGGGAACUUCCAUAUGCCUUAGGUGUGGCCUAAAAAGCAAUAAAGAAAGAAAGAAAAGAAAAAAGGAAAAAGGAAAGAAGAGAAAAGAAAAGAAAAGAAAAGAUGAAUAAAUAAAUAAUAGCCUGUAAGACAUUAAGAAUUCAAUGCUUGGACAUGGCAAGUUUUCAAAAAAUGCUGUCUACCAUUCAUAUUAUUAUUAUUAUUAUGUACAAUUAAGUCUAUUCAGGGUAGAUACUUUUAUAAUCAGGAAGUUUCUAAAUUCUGGUCUUUAGUGUUCUAAAUUAAAUCAUAUUAUCUUCUAAAGAAAUCUAACUUAAAGUAACCAGAAAGGAGGUUUGUUAGAAGUAUUAACUUUAUAUACAACAUUUAAGCAACAGAAAAAGCC
Molecule: long non-coding RNA, 4571 nt
Filed under: Sus scrofa (pig)
Lineage: Eukaryota; Metazoa; Chordata; Mammalia; Artiodactyla; Suidae
Description: lncRNA (ENSSSCG00015034147.1)
Source: RNAcentral